This is a non-coding RNA of Arachis ipaensis, 143 nucleotides long. Lineage: Eukaryota; Viridiplantae; Streptophyta; Magnoliopsida; Fabales; Fabaceae. The record is from RefSeq and is a predicted model, not a curated record.
AGUAGAGUAUGAAAUAUCAAGCUGGUUCAGUUUAGACUUAGUGAACCCAUGCUUGGAACAGGAGACGAAUGACGAGGCUUAUGAAGAGUUUUAUUGCGUUUUGUUUAUUCAAUGUUAUUGUUUUAGUUAUUAGUUAUUUUUUU